AGGGAUUGACAUGCCGAGAAUUUCUUAGAGAUGAGAAAGUGCCUGUAAAGGAACUUGGACACAGGUGGUGCAUGGCUGUCGUCAGCUCGUACCGUAAGGCGUAGAGUUAAGUCUCGCAACGAGCGCAACCCUCGUCUUUUGUUGCCUAUAUAGGGACUCUAAAGAGACUGCCGGUGCAAGCCGGAGGAAGGAGAGGAUGACGUCAAGUCAGCAUGCCCCUUACAUCCUGG
Molecule: ribosomal RNA, 230 nt
Filed under: Ditylum brightwellii
Lineage: Eukaryota; Bacillariophyta; Thalassiosirophyceae; Lithodesmiales; Lithodesmiaceae
Description: partial Bacterial small subunit ribosomal RNA
Rfam family: Bacterial small subunit ribosomal RNA
Source: RNAcentral